RNAcentral lists this non-coding RNA (29 nucleotides) under Homo sapiens (human). Lineage: Eukaryota; Metazoa; Chordata; Mammalia; Primates; Hominidae. The record is from RNAcentral.
UCACAGGUAUUGGUGCUUCUUGCCUGAGU